Non-coding RNA from Phyllostomus discolor (pale spear-nosed bat), 425 nucleotides. NCBI's taxonomy places the organism in Eukaryota, Metazoa, Chordata, Mammalia, Chiroptera, Phyllostomidae. The record is from the annotation of a RefSeq genome assembly.
UGUGCACCAUGGCCUGGACUCCUCUCCUCCUCGUGCUCGUCUCUCACUGCACAGGUUCCCUCUCUCAGCCUGUGCUGACUCAGCCAUCCUCUCUGUCUGCAUCUCCGGGAGCAACAGCCAGACUCACCUGCACCUUUAGCAGUGGCUUCAGUGUUGGUGGCUACUACAUAAACUGGUUCCAGCAGAAUCCAGGGAGCCCUCCCCGGUAUCUCCUGGCGUAUAAAUCAGACUCAGAGAAGCACCAGGGCUCUGGGGUCCCCAGCCGCUUCUCUGGAUCCAAAGACACCUCGGCCAAUGCAGGGCUCCUGCUCAUCUCUGGGCUGCAGCCUGAGGACGAGGCCGACUAUUACUGUGCUACAGCUCAUGGCAGUGGGAGCAGCUUAACUUACUCACAGUGGCUCAGAUGCUGAGGAAGUGAGACAGAA